AGAUAAUCCCGAUAUAAAAGACAACGGCGACGAUAGGUGGGACGGAACAAAAGUAAAUGGAACACGAGAUGGGAUAAAAAUCCAGCGAGAUA
This is a long non-coding RNA of Salarias fasciatus (jewelled blenny), 92 nucleotides long. RefSeq lists it as uncharacterized. The transcript has 3 exons. Lineage: Eukaryota; Metazoa; Chordata; Actinopteri; Blenniiformes; Blenniidae. The record is from RefSeq and is a predicted model, not a curated record.